This is a long non-coding RNA of Neofelis nebulosa (Clouded leopard), 613 nucleotides long. RefSeq lists it as uncharacterized. The transcript has 4 exons. The record is from RefSeq and is a predicted model, not a curated record. Lineage: Eukaryota; Metazoa; Chordata; Mammalia; Carnivora; Felidae.
UAGAUGAAUAUUGCAUGAAUGAUUGAAUGAGGCUGUAUGCAUAAUGAGAUUUCAUCUCCAAAGACUUCAAAUACUCUGGAGGCUAGUAAUACUUGUUCUUUUCCUUCUAGCGCUUGUUUAAAGAGUGUUCAUGGAAAAACAUCACUAUAUUCAGGGAGCACGAAGAUACAGGGAGAAUUUUAAAUAGAAGACAAGUGACUGCCAAGUCAAUGCUUUUUACCCUUUCUCAAGUUUCACCCUUCAUAUACCUUUUGCUGUGUCUGGACUAUAUUAGUUUGCCAGGGCUGCCAGAAGAAAGCACCACAAACUGAGCAGCUUAAACAAGAGAACUCUAUCUUGUCUCAAUUUUGGAGGUUGGGAGCCCCCAAUGAAGGUGUUGGCAAGUGUUCCUGCAGCACACCUUGGUUGGGGUCUCAAUGGUGUAACUGCUGACAAUGAUGGAAGAGGAGGAGGAGGAGGAGGGAGAGGAAGAAAAGAGGAAGAUGAUGAACAAGAUUAUCUUGUAUAGUCUCCCCAAAAAAUAAUCUACUACAUAAAAUUUAAUACUUCACACAAUGCAGGAUUUUGGCGGCAAGUGGUCACACUUAAAUAAGUGAUGAAAAUGAGACUCACA